Sitophilus oryzae (rice weevil) is the source of this 1033-nucleotide RNA transcript. It is a transcript of the gene named cuticle protein 19-like, with no coding region annotated. NCBI's taxonomy places the organism in Eukaryota, Metazoa, Arthropoda, Insecta, Coleoptera, Curculionidae. The transcript is spliced from 3 exons. The record is from RefSeq and is a predicted model, not a curated record.
UAAUAUAAAUAUAGAAAAAGUAAUAUUAUGAAAUCUACUACUAAUCAAACGUAUUCUUCUAACACGACAGUCUGUUGCAUCGUCAAUUUGAACAUAAAAAAUGUGUUUGAAACUUUUUAAAGAACUCCUUAAAAUUAACAUUUUGGUACGAAUUCCUUUUGAAGUUAUGAAAGAAGAAAAUAAGAAAUUAAUUGGAAAAUUAAUUCGGUCCUGAUCCACAUUCAGAUUCAAUUUUUUAAUGUCAAACUGAUGUUAUUGUUGCCAAAAAUAAUUUUAAGAUUCAUUUUUUUAAUGUCAUAUUUACUUUAUACGUGCCAAACAUAAUUUGUAAAUAUGAAUUAUACAUACUGAAGAAAAAAAUAGUUUAGUGGUAUUAUGGAAAAAAUGAUCUACAGGCUGUAAAGGAUUUAUUUUCUGUACAUUUUUCAAAUAGGACAGAACAGUUAUUAAAGACUGUAAAUAUAAAAGGAAGAACUAUCAUUUUCGAAAUGAGUUCCAAACUUACGUUUUUGUAAAUGGGACACCCUGUAUAUAUAUAAUUUUUUAAAUUUUAGUUGCCGUGUUUAUGAGGUUUCUAAAAAAUAUAAUAUAAUCUAUACAUAUUUUCUUAGACAAGGUAAAAAAUGCAAUAUGUAACUUUUUAACGGUUUAAAUUAAGUAAUUACAAUCAACUAAUUUAUUCGACGUCAAAUUUUGGUUAUUGGCUAUUUCACGCUAGUUUCUGUGUACAAAAUUAUUGCAGAAAUGCAUCAAAAAUGUCAACAAAUCGGAUCGACAGUUGUGUUAUCUAAAAGUUGCACAAGUUCAUUUUCAGUGUAAUUUAUUGAGAUAAUACGAUGGAAAGCAAAAUUAUUUGGUUAAAUUAAAUAAAGGGCUCAACUUUCGUUUACUUGAAAUCUGUUAGGUUUACUUCUUGGCAUUUGUGGCCGUGGCUGCAGCGUACGAGCACCAUGUCCCCCAUUAUCAUUUCGAAUAUGGCGUUCACGACCCUCACACUCACGACGUCAAAGACCAGUUCGAGCACCGUAACCAC